UACGGGGGGAGCAAGCGUUGUUCGGAUUUACUGGGCGUAAAGGGCGCGUAGGCGGUCAGCACAAGUCAGUUGUGAAAUCUCCGGGCUUAACUCGGAAAGGUCAACUGAUACUGUGCGACUAGAGUGCGGAAGGGGCAACUGGAAUUCUUGGUGUAGCGGUGAAAUGCGUAGAUAUCAAGAGGAACACCUGCGGCGAAGGCGGGUUGCUGGGCCGACACUGACGCUGAGGCGCGAAAGCGUGGGUAGCGAACGGG
This 254-nucleotide ribosomal RNA is filed under the name uncultured bacterium. RNAcentral describes it as "partial 16S ribosomal RNA". It matches the Rfam family "Bacterial small subunit ribosomal RNA", at positions 524 to 776 of the family's 1533-position model. The record is from RNAcentral.